RNAcentral lists this long non-coding RNA (1580 nucleotides) under Bemisia tabaci. Its description in RNAcentral is "lncRNA ENSSSA2NGG002366". Lineage: Eukaryota; Metazoa; Arthropoda; Insecta; Hemiptera; Aleyrodidae. The record is from RNAcentral.
UUUACAUGAAAACGGUUGUGCGGAUUCCCGUGCAAAGUUCAGUAGAUUUUCUCCAUAGUACGAAGCAAAUCCCUUAAAAUUUUCAAAGGAAUCCACACAAGCGUUCUCUUGUAACAAUUAAAUUGCCCAGUUAAACUUGGCAAUAGCUGAUGUGGCUUGGUUCCUUUCUGUUAAAGGCGGACCAUUUUACUUAUCGUAUAGAAGACUGUUUGAUUGCAACUUGAAAUUCAAUUUUUGUUUGUUCCAGGAACCGGAGCUCCGAGUGACGUCAUGGUGGUGACGAAAGUGCGCGUGGUGCUCGUGCGAUGAGGAAGUGCUAACCGGUGUGGUAUCUCGCAUCAACCUCGCGGAGUCCCUCGGGAGUGUCUUGUUGCCGGUGUGCCCCCGGAGGAGUUUUCAAAUACGGCGCGCCCCCGGCUCGUCGCAAUCGGCGGACGAUCGUUGCCUUGGACCGGGACCCCCUUAUGAGGUUGCGCUCCCAGCUGAGCCGAAUCGGACGGGCCCCCCGGAAAAAAGUGCGCUCCGACCGUGGCCGAUGUCGGCGCUGAGCCCCAUCGCCUGCCGCCGCCCGUGAAUUUUAUUAUCGAAUUAUCGCUGUGAUAGUGACCGGUGAUUAGUGAUCAGUGUCCAGUGUCCGGUGAUCAGUGUCCAGUGAUCAGUGUCCAGUGCCAAAAUGAGCGAGUUCCCGUCGAGGAAGAUCUCCCUCCUCCGCGUCCGAUCGACAGAUGGAGAUGGGCCGGAGACGGGGCCAAACCUGGACGAGGAGAUGGAGAAGGUGUUCGCGAUGGAGGGCGAACGCUUCGACGUGGCACGCCUCGCAUCCUCGCCCGAGGCCACUCCGCCCGAGAAACGUUUCAACGAGCGCGACUACAGCUUUCACCGCAAGAAGAGCUACCCUCACACACAUGUGCCUCUCAAAGCAAUCCACUCUCGCUCGAUGAAAAAAACGCUCCUCUGUGCCCACGAGAGAUAGCUCAGAGAGUAACGAAGUUAGCAGCGGAGAUGCCCAGAAACGUUCUCCAUCCUUAUCAGAAAAGGGAGGAAGUGAAGCAGUGGCAGAGAAUGGUGGUGAAAUCUCUGUCGGACAAUCAAUUCCAGCCCAAGAUUCCUUUGAUGACAGUAGUCAAGCACCCAAGCCCUCGAUUCCACCAACACCACCUCCUGUAGAUUUUAAAACUAGCAACCAAGCGCUCAACGAAGGCAGCUCUUCACCACCAGGGUGUCAGAUUUCAAGUCCUGAUUGUGAAGAGAGUUCAACAAGAGAUGUAUUGUUCAGCAGUGGUAGUGAGCCACAAAUUUCAGAACGAGCUGCCACCUUGCCUGAUGCCUCAAUUUUGAGUAGUUCUCCUGACAGGCGGGUCCAGUUUGAAAUAGAUGGAAUUGAGGAAGAACACGGAACUCAAUUAAUACCUCUAGUUGAAAGGAAAACUACAACAGGUGAUGCUGAGGACUCGCCACAAGACAGUGAUAAAAGGUCAAAACGGAGACACAGUGGUAGACACUACUAUCACCAUAAAUCAAGGAAGCACAGUACCUCUGAAGAUCCUAAAAGAGAAAACGAUCAGGCGCCGAGUAUUUAG